UGGGGAAUAUUGCACAAUGGGCGCAAGCCUGAUGCAGCCAUGCCGCGUGUGUGAAGAAGGCCUUCGGGUUGUAAAGCACUUUCAGCGGGGAGGAAGGCGUUAAGGUUAAUAACCUUGGCGAUUGACGUUACCCGCAGAAGAAGCACCGGCUAACUACGUGCCAGCAGCCGCGGUAAUACGUAGGUGGCAAGCGUUGUCCGGAUUUAUUGGGCGUAAAGCGAGCGCAGGCGGUUUCUUAAGUCUGAUGUGAAAGCCCCCGGCUCAACCGGGGAGGGUCAUUGGAAACUGGGAGACUUGAGUGCAGAAGAGGAGAGUGGAAUUCCAUGUGUAGCGGUGAAAUGCGUAGAUAUAUGGAGGAACACCAGUGGCGAAGGCGGCUCUCUGGUCUGUAACUGACGCUGAGGCUCGAAAGCGUGGGGAGCAAACAGG
This 429-nucleotide ribosomal RNA is filed under the name Chloroflexota bacterium. Its description in RNAcentral is "Chloroflexi bacterium partial 16S ribosomal RNA". It matches the Rfam family "Bacterial small subunit ribosomal RNA", at positions 355 to 776 of the family's 1533-position model. Lineage: Bacteria; Bacillati; Chloroflexota. The record is from RNAcentral.